Patella vulgata (common limpet) is the source of this 1278-nucleotide long non-coding RNA. RefSeq lists it as uncharacterized. NCBI's taxonomy places the organism in Eukaryota, Metazoa, Mollusca, Gastropoda, Patellidae. The transcript has 2 exons. The record is from RefSeq and is a predicted model, not a curated record.
AUGAUAACAUGGUAAAUAUUAAUAAUAAAUAAUGACUGCAUCAUCAUGUAUCCUUGAAGUGGUGGACACACUAGCCGAAUGAUUCGGCCGAAUCAAUCGGCGUGGAAAUUCGCCUAGUGUGUCCACUGUCAUUCGGCCGAAUGAUUCGCCCAAAUCAAACAGGUUUGAUAUAUUCGGCCGAAUUAUAUUCGCCUGGUGUGUCCGCUUCGCCGAAGCAUUCGGCCGAAUGUAGAAUUCAUUAGCCAAUCACCACUCAUAUAGAGAAGUCACGUGAUAGUUUGAAGAAAUAGACGCCGCCAUGUUUAUUCAUGUGACGUGAAAGGUGAUGCAAUCGACUGGUGAAUCGGGCGAAGCAUUCGGCUAGUGUGUCCACCCAUUCGGCCGAAUAAAAUUGGACGGCGGUAACAAGUAUUUGGUCGGCGGUAAUUAUAUUACGGUCGAAAGUCAUUACAAUGCGGUCGGCGGUAAAAAGUAUUUGGUCGGCGGUAAUUUCACGGCGGUAAAAGUAUUGGUCGGCGGUAAAAAGUACCACCCCUUAAAUAACGUACCAAGAAUCUUGGUCCAAAGCUGUCUCUUAAGAUUGUGGGACAACUGGUUAUCAUGUCUAUGGGUGUGUUGUAUGCCAAGAAACAGAAUUUUACCAAGAUGACAGUGUUCCUCUCUACUGGUUCAAUUCCAGCUGUCAUGGGAUCUUAUAUUGUAAAGGGACACAAAUUUUAAAAUUCACAUAAAUAUCAAAACAGAUCUUUUUACUUGAAGUUGGCAGAUGGCCCGAAACAUAUUUUCACUGUUCAGCACAGGUACAUGUACAGUUCAAUUUUGUUUUCAUCUUUGUGCAUCGGUUAUGAUUUAAACAGGCAUUAUGUAAGAGCUAAAUCUGCCUAUUGCAGGUCUUUCUUUGUGCCUUAAAUGUUCUAUAAAUUAUUAGACAUUAACUAACUUAUCAAGACCAUAAUUAACUCUCGAUGCCAUCGUAUAGUCUAGAUUUUGAACAGAUUUAAAUCUGAUCUGUGGUUCAACGACAGUUGAAGAUUUACCGUAAAAGUGGAUAAUCGAGACUUUGGUUAUCGUAACAACGGUAGCAAUGACAAUCGAGGCUACGGUGUUAUAUUGUAAUGAGAAUAUCUUGACGCAGAGUGAACUAAUUUGACUGAAAUUUUAUACAUAUUUCCUUUACGUAACCUUUUUUUUAACUAUUAUAGUGAGAACUGCCAGCUCUUUAUCUAAUCUUCCAUAAUGCCCCUUUAAAGUUGCAAUUUCAUAUUUUUAAGUUAUAUU